Molecule: ribosomal RNA, 253 nt
Filed under: uncultured bacterium
Lineage: Bacteria
Description: partial 16S ribosomal RNA
Rfam family: Bacterial small subunit ribosomal RNA
Source: RNAcentral
UACAGGGGGGGCAAGCGUUGUUCGGAAUUACUGGGCGUAAAGGGCCAGUAGGCGGCCAACUAAGUCACACGUGAAAUCCCCGGGCUUAACCCGGGAACUGCGUGUGAUACUGGAUGGCUUGAAUUCGGGAGAGGGAUGCAGAAUUCCAGGUGUAGCGGUGAAAUGCGUAGAUAUCAGGAGGAACACCGGUGGCGAAGGCGGGUCUCUGGGCCGAUACUGACGCUGAGGAGCGAAAGCGUGGGGAGCAAACAGG